AGGGGCAUAAGAUAAUGGUAGUCGUAAGCUCUCCAAAAGCUUCCGUGUGGGUUCGAAUCCUACUGCCCCUGCCA
Molecule: transfer RNA, 74 nt
Filed under: Mycoplasmatota bacterium
Lineage: Bacteria; Bacillati; Mycoplasmatota
Description: Tenericutes bacterium (anaerobic digester metagenome) tRNA-Trp
Rfam family: tRNA
About the family: Transfer RNA (tRNA) molecules are approximately 80 nucleotides in length. Their secondary structure includes four short double-helical elements and three loops (D, anti-codon, and T loops).
Source: RNAcentral